Molecule: small RNA, 29 nt
Filed under: Bombyx mori (domestic silkworm)
Lineage: Eukaryota; Metazoa; Arthropoda; Insecta; Lepidoptera; Bombycidae
Description: ovarian small RNA-9987
Source: RNAcentral
AAACGAUGUCCUGCAGCUGUUGAGGCUGA